ACUCCUGCGGGAGGCAGCAGUGGGGAAUUUUGGACAAUGGGCGAAAGCCUGAUCCAGCAAUGCCGCGUGAGUGAAGAAGGCCUUCGGGUUGUAAAGCUCUUUUGUCAGGGAAGAAACGGUGAAAGCUAAUAUCUUUUGCUAAUGACGGUACCUGAAGAAUAAGCACCGGCUAACUACGUGCCAGCAGCCGCGGUAAUACGUAGGGUGCAAGCGUUAAUCGGAAUUACUGGGCGUAAAGCGUGCGCAGGCGGUUUUGUAAGUCUGAUGUGAAAUCCCCGGGCUCAACCUGGGAAUUGCAUUGGAGACUGCAAGGCUAGAAUCUGGCAGAGGGGGGUAGAAUUCCACGUGUAGCAGUGAAAUGCGUAGAUAUGUGGAGGAACACCGAUGGCGAAGGCAGCCCCCUGGGUCAAGAUUGACGCUCAUGCACGAAAGCGUGGGGAGCAAACAGGAUUAGAUACCCGGGUAGUCCC
RNAcentral lists this ribosomal RNA (470 nucleotides) under uncultured organism. RNAcentral's name for it is "partial 16S ribosomal RNA". It matches the Rfam family "Bacterial small subunit ribosomal RNA", at positions 335 to 797 of the family's 1533-position model. The record is from RNAcentral.